Molecule: ribosomal RNA, 306 nt
Filed under: Triticum aestivum (bread wheat)
Lineage: Eukaryota; Viridiplantae; Streptophyta; Magnoliopsida; Poales; Poaceae
Description: partial small subunit ribosomal RNA
Source: RNAcentral
AUGUUAGUGCGUAUGUUCUCGGGAUUGGAGCUAGCGAGUGUUUUGGGUGGAGCUAUUGUUGUUGGUCUGCUCGUUUGCCAGUCCAGGUUUUGGUACUCUGCUCACUGUUGGUGCAUAGUGUACACGGUUUAUGGACCCAAAGGGGUGGAUGAGGAAAACAACCGAGAUGAAAAUGUUAUCAGCACGAACAUGAUGUGUCUUUUCUUAUUUAUUUUUUUACUGCAGGGGAGCACGAACAUGUUGUGGACUGAAACGUUGCCAUCGAGGGCCUCUUUGUUUUGCAGGAUUCUCAAAACGCAGGAAUAG